This 468-nucleotide ribosomal RNA is filed under the name uncultured bacterium. RNAcentral's name for it is "partial 16S ribosomal RNA". It matches the Rfam family "Bacterial small subunit ribosomal RNA", at positions 28 to 507 of the family's 1533-position model. The record is from RNAcentral.
GACGAACGCUGGCGGCGUGCUUAACACAUGCAAGUCGAACGGAAAGGCCCUGCUUUUGUGGGGUGCUCGAGUGGCGAACGGGUGAGUAACACGUGAGUAACCCGCCCUUGAAUUUGGGAUAACUUCAGGAAACUGGGGCUAAUACCGGAUAGGAGCUCCUGCUGCACGGUGGGGGUUGGAAAGUUUCGGCUGUUGGGGAUGGACUCGCGGCUUAUCAGCUUGUUGGUGGGGUAGUGGCUUACCAAGGCUUUGACGGGUAGCCGGCCUGAGAGGGUGGCCGGCCACCUUGGGACUGCGGUAGGGACCAGACUGCUACGUGACGCAGCGGGGGGAAACAUGACGCAGUGAGCGGGAGCCUGAUGCAACGACGCCGCGUGCGGGAUGACGGCCUUCGGGUUGUAAACCGCUUUCGCCUGUGACGUAGCCUGAGUGACGGUACUGGGUAAAGAAGCACCGGCUAACUACGUG